Molecule: ribosomal RNA, 516 nt
Filed under: uncultured bacterium
Lineage: Bacteria
Description: bacterial SSU rRNA
Rfam family: Bacterial small subunit ribosomal RNA
Source: RNAcentral
AGAGUUGAUUAUGGCUCAGGAUGAACGCUAGCGACAGGCUAACACAUGCAAGGUCGAGGGGCAGCAUAAAAGUAGCAAUACUUGGUGGCGACCGGCGCACGGGUGAGUAACGCGUAUGCAACCUACCUAUCAGAGGGGAAUAACCCGGCGAAAGUCGGACUAAUAUCGCAUAAAACAGGGGCACCGCAUGGUGAUAUUUGUUAAAGAAAUUCGCUGAUAGAUGGGCAUGCGUUCCAUUAGGUAGUUGGUGAGGUAACGGCUCACCAAGCCGACGAUGGAUAGGGGAACUGAGAGGUUGGUCCCCCACACUGGUACUGAGACACGGACCAGACUCCUACGGGAGGCAGCAGUGAGGAAUAUUGGUCAAUGGGCGAGAGCCUGAACCAGCCAAGUCGCGUGAAGGAAGAAGGAUCUAUGGUUCGUAAACUUCUUUUGCAGGGGAAUAAAGUGCAGGACGUGUCCUGUUUUGUAUGUACCCUGAGAAUAAGGAUCGGCUAACUCCGUGCCAGCCGCUGC